GGGCGGUGUGUACAAAGGGCAGGGACGUAAUCAACGCAAGCUGAUGACUUGCGCUUACUAGGAAUUCCUCGUUGAAGAGCAAUAAUUACAAUGCUCUAUCCCCAGCACGACGGAGUUUCACAAGAUUACCAGGACCUCUCGGCCAAGGUUAGACUCGCUGGCUCCGUCAGUGUAGCGCGCGUGCGGCCCAGAACGUCUAAGGGCAUCACAGACCUGUUAUUGCCUCAAACUUCCAUCGGCUUGAAACCGAUAGUCCCUCUAAGAAGCGGACAACCAGCAAAUGCUAGCACCACUAUUUAGUAGGUUAAGGUCUCGUUCGUUAUCGCAAUUAAGCAGACAAAUCACUCCACCAACUAAGAACGGCCAUGCACCACCACCCACAAAAUCAAGAAAGAGCUCUCAAUCUGUCAAUCCUUAUUGUGUCUGGACCUGGUGAGUUUCCCCGUGUUGAGUCAAAUUAAGCCGCAGGCUCCACUCCUGGUGGUGCCCUUCCGUCAAUUCCUUUAAGUUUCAGCCUUGCGACCAUACCCCCCCCAGAACCCAAAGACUUUGAUUUCUCGUAAGGUGCCGAGUGGGUCAUUAAAAAAACACCACCCGAUCCCUAGUCGGCAUAGUUUAUGGUUAAGACUACGACGGUAUCUGAUCAUCUUCGAUCCCCUAACUUUCGUUCUUGAUUAAUGAAAACGUCCUUGGCAAAUGCUUUCGCAGUAGUUAGUCUUCAAUAAAUCCAAGAAUUUCACCUCUGACAAUUGAAUACUGAUGCCCCCGACCGUCCCUAUUAAUCAUUACGAUGGUCCUAGAAACCAACAAAAUAGAACCAAACGUCCUAUUCUAUUAUUCCAUGCUAAUAUAUUCGAGCAAUACGCCUGCUUUGAACACUCUAAUUUUUUCAAAGUAAAAAUCCUGGUUCGCCAAGAGCCACAAGGACCCAAGGUUAGCCAGAAGGAAAGGUCCGCUUGGGAUUCCAGUACNCGAA
This 976-nucleotide ribosomal RNA is filed under the name uncultured eukaryote. Its description in RNAcentral is "partial 18S ribosomal RNA". The record is from RNAcentral.